RNAcentral lists this ribosomal RNA (778 nucleotides) under Escherichia coli. RNAcentral's name for it is "partial 23S ribosomal RNA". It matches the Rfam family "Bacterial large subunit ribosomal RNA", at positions 2154 to 2925 of the family's 2925-position model. Lineage: Bacteria; Pseudomonadati; Pseudomonadota; Gammaproteobacteria; Enterobacterales; Enterobacteriaceae. The record is from RNAcentral.
GCUUUGAAGUGUGGACGCCAGUCUGCAUGGAGCCGACCUUGAAAUACCACCCUUUAAUGUUUGAUGUUCUAACGUUGGCCCCUAAUCGGGGUUGCGGACAGUGUCUGGUGGGUAGUUUGACUGGGGCGGUCUCCUCCUAAAGAGUAACGGAGGAGCACGAAGGUUGGCUAAUCCUGGUCGGACAUCAGGAGGUUAGUGCAAUGGCAUAAGCCAGCUUGACUGCGAGCGUGACGGCGCGAGCAGGUGCGAAAGCAGGUCAUAGUGAUCCGGUGGUUCUGAAUGGAAGGGCCAUCGCUCAACGGAUAAAAGGUACUCCGGGGAUAACAGGCUGAUACCGCCCAAGAGUUCAUAUCGACGGCGGUGUUUGGCACCUCGAUGUCGGCUCAUCACAUCCUGGGGCUGAAGUAGGUCCCAAGGGUAUGGCUGUUCGCCAUUUAAAGUGGUACGCGAGCUGGGUUUAGAACGUCGUGAGACAGUUCGGUCCCUAUCUGCCGUGGGCGCUGGAGAACUGAGGGGGGCUGCUCCUAGUACGAGAGGACCGGAGUGGACGCAUCACUGGUGUUCGGGUUGUCAUGCCAAUGGCACUGCCCGGUAGCUAAAUGCGGAAGAGAUAAGUGCUGAAAGCAUCUAAGCACGAAACUUGCCCCGAGAUGAGUUCUCCCUGAGACUUAGAGUCUCCUGAAGGAACGUUGAAGACGACGACGUUGAUAGGCCGGGUGUGUAAGCGCAGCGAUGCGUUGAGCUAACCGGUACUAAUGAACCGUGAGGCUUAACCUUA